CAUGGAGCCUGCGCCAACUUCGAUGCGGACAAACGAAAACGCCCCUCGCCCGCCCGGCGCAGCGGUCCCACAGGGACGCGGAGGACUCUGGCUCAGCGCAGCCGGCUGCUGAGUCCCAUCGUUCCCCUCCGCACAGC
This is a non-coding RNA of Phyllostomus discolor (pale spear-nosed bat), 137 nucleotides long. RefSeq annotates it as small Cajal body-specific RNA 3. The transcript has a single exon. Lineage: Eukaryota; Metazoa; Chordata; Mammalia; Chiroptera; Phyllostomidae. The record is from RefSeq and is a predicted model, not a curated record.